AUUGAACGCUGGCGGCAUGCUUUACACAUGCGAGUCGAACGGUAACAGGCCGCAAGGUGCUGACGAGUGGCGAACGGGUGAGUAAUGCAUCGGAACGUGCCCAGUCGUGGGGGAUAACUACUCGAAAGAGUAGCUAAUACCGCAUACGAUCUAUGGAUGAAAGCGGGGACCGUAAGGCCUCGCGCGAUUGGAGCGGCCGAUGUCAGAUUAGGUAGUUGGUGGGGUAAAGGCUCACCAAGCCAACGAUCUGUAGCUGGUCUGAGAGGACGACCAGCCACACUGGGACUGAGACACGGCCCAGACUCCUACGGGAGGCAGCAGUGGGGAAUUUUGGACAAUGGGCGCAAGCCUGAUCCAGCAAUGCCGCGUGCAGGAAGAAGGCCUUCGGGUUGUAAACUGCUUUUGUACGGAACGAAACGGCUCUGGUUAAUACCCGGGGCUAAUGACGGUACCGUAAGAAUAAGCACCGGCUAACUACGUG
Molecule: ribosomal RNA, 481 nt
Filed under: uncultured bacterium
Lineage: Bacteria
Description: partial 16S ribosomal RNA
Rfam family: Bacterial small subunit ribosomal RNA
Source: RNAcentral